AAAUAAUUUAUAUAGUUAUUUAACAUUUCAAUAAAUAUUAUGAAUUUGAAUAUGCUAUCCUCUCUUUAUAAACAUUUUGAUAUGCAACAACAAAAAAAUAAUAAAAACAGUACAAUAAUUCAGCAUAUAACUGUGUAUCGAAUUUGACUUUUUUUUCCCUUAAAGAAAGCUAAUGUGUGGUGCAAAUAUCAGGUGAUAGAGUCCAAAUAACACCACCCAUAAUUUUCUCUAGCAAGUAAUACAUGAUUAUAUAAUAAUUUUUAUAACCAUAUAAAAUUAUCAUAAUUAAUGAUGAAAGUCUACCCGCAUACAUAUAGCAGUUAUAUGGAUCCAGAGAAGAAUUUCCCCAUAGUUGGCGUCAUUUAUUAAUUGGUAGCAGCAUAAAGGGGUGGAGGAAGGCGUGGCGUAAGAAGAACAUCCACAGGGGUGGCUUUGAGGUUGCUCAUUCCAGCACUCUCACUCAUAUCAACUGGUUGGCCUGAAUGAGUUUCAAUUUCGAAAGAAUGUAACAAAGUAGCAAGUGUAAGGUUCAAAACUUGAAGAGCAAAUGAGAUUCCAGGACAAAUUCUUCUUCCACUGCCGAAUGGUAGUAGCUCAAAAUUCUGGCCCUUAAAAUCAACAUCCUUGUGGGUUGUGAGAAACCUCUCUGGUAUAAACUCUGAAGGAUUCAACCACACUCGUGAAUCUCUAUGAAUUUUUGAAACAUUUACAAUAAGGCGUGUACCUGCUGGAAUGUGAUAGCCUCCUACACUGCAAUCUUCUAUGGAUUCAUGUGGCAUCGAUAAUGGAGCAGCAGGAUACAACCUAAACGAUUCUUUGAUGAUGGCUUGAAGGUAAACCAAAUCCUUCAUGUCUGAUUCCAUCACUUGCCUUUCUCUACCGACAAGGGUGUCCAAUUCUUGUUGUGCUUUCUUUAGGACAUGGCGAUUGUUGAGUAGUAAUGACAAAGUCCAAGUUAGCGUCACCGAUGUAGUGUCUGAAGCUGCUAGAAUUAUAGCCUGCAUGAAUCAGAGAAACUGUAGCAUUCAGAACAAAUAAAACAUCGAUCUUUCACUAAUUUAAUAUGUUCAUGUAAAUAUCUCUAUACCAGGCAGGUAGAUUUGUUGAUAGUAUCAACAUCUCGGUUAGAAAGCUCUUUUGCGUCUUGCAGGAUUGACAAUAACACAUCCAUGAAGUCUUCUCCUCCCCCCUUAUAUACCACGCCCGAAGCUCUCUUCUGCUUGUGUUCGUGCAACCAUCCUCCAAUUAUAUUGUCCAGCUCUUUUGCAGUCUUCUUCAUCUCCUUCUCAUCCCCGCCAAAAUCUAGCCACCUUAGGAAUGGAAACGCAUCUGACACUACAAACUUCCCCAUGAGUUUGGAAAAAGCUCUCAGUGCUGAUCUCCAGUCAUCAUCACUAUCUCUACCUUCAUCGCCUUUAUUACACUCUACAAAUCUCUUCCCUACAACUAUCUUGAAUACCACAUUUUGAUUUACUUCGAAAAACCAUCUCUUCAUCUCCACCAAAAGUUUGUCCGAAUCAUUUUUGUUCUUGAUCCAUUGCUGGUAUAAUCCUUCGAUGGCUACUUUAACCUCCGCCUUUCGCACAUGUUUGAGCUUCUCUAGCCGAUGAUUUGAGAGAACCUCAAGAGUGACAAUCUUGCGAAUUUGGCGCCAGUAUUCUCCAUAUGGGCUGGUGCCAAACAUGUAAUAAUUAUAGCCCAAUAUUUCCAUGGCCAGAGAUUUAGGACGAUUGGCAAAAGCUUUGUCGUUCGUUGUAAGGCAAUCCCUUGCCAACUCCCAACUAUUUACUACCAAAGCGCGAUGCACACCAAGCUUGAUAGUGAAAAUUGGUCCCAUCUGGUCAGCCAAGUUUCCGAGGAUUAUGUGAGGUGGCUGUGACCCAGCUAAGAGAUGGAGGUGGCCAAUAACAGGCCAUCCACCGGCGGCUUCUGGUGGUAGUCUCUGCUUAUUGGAUGCUUUUCUUGAUAUCCAAAACAAAUAGAUGAGCGGUGUUAUGAGGUGUAGUAUGAUGACCAUGGCACUGACUGAGAAUGAAAAAAGGGACUCCAUUGUUGAUUUCUAAUUUUAGGUGGUGAGUGUUACUG
This 2085-nucleotide unclassified non-coding RNA is filed under the name Hevea brasiliensis (rubber tree). Lineage: Eukaryota; Viridiplantae; Streptophyta; Magnoliopsida; Malpighiales; Euphorbiaceae. The record is from RNAcentral.